Aethalodelphis obliquidens (Pacific white-sided dolphin) is the source of this 1284-nucleotide long non-coding RNA. RefSeq lists it as uncharacterized. Lineage: Eukaryota; Metazoa; Chordata; Mammalia; Artiodactyla; Delphinidae. The transcript is spliced from 3 exons. The record is from RefSeq and is a predicted model, not a curated record.
ACAAGUUAAUUUAUAUAGCAUGGAAUAUCAUGAUGGAAUUGUUACUGAACUAGAGAAGGAAUAAAUAUCACCCAAAGAUAGAUACAGAGACUUAUGGAACUUUGGGUGUUCCCUUUUGAGGGGAGGUGAGUACAUUUGUUUUUUUUUUUUUUUUUUUUCUUGGUACAGGGACAAUUAUGUUAUUGUUUGGAAGUUUAAAUAUGGAGAGAAGGUAAGUAUGGAUGUUGAAUACCCAGAGGAAGGGUCUACGGCAUUUAUGGUGGAUUGGUGCUCAAUAUCCAUUCAAGUUUUCUUCUGUGAACUUUCCCAAUCUGCAGAAGUUAGAAAGUAAAAAAAAGUUUCUGUUUUUUUUUUUUUUUUUUACCUGGACUCUCUUGCAGCUAAGGUUUUGGAAUUUGUUAGGCUGGGCCAAUCAAAUACACUUGUGCAAGAUUUGGAAGGCCGAGUGGAAUGGAGGCUGUAUUUCUGCUGUAAUUGCUUUUUUUUCUAAAAAGUACAGGCAUGGAGGGAUUUUUUUUUCCCCCUGAGGCAGCAUUAGCAUAGGUACCAGUGUCUAGGAACUCAGUUGGUUUGAGUACUAAAAGGCAGAGCAUGAGGCCUCCCUGCUGGUGUGUAUCACAGCAGGGAUGGUGCAACUUCCUGAUGUGGCAGGUUCCUCAUUGUAGCAGCUUCCUGCCAUAAUUCUGGAGCUAGCUUCUUUCUGACCACAGAAGAGGCAGAAACUCCUUUGGUGACCCAUUUCUGCACUGAGACUUUUUGUUCUUGAAAGCUUGUCAUGGAAGCUCUUUCUUCUGCUUUCCCAAUGAUUCAGCAAGAUGUUCCAGGCUGUCUCUGGAGGGUCUGACCUUUUGGAUUGGAGCAAAUGAGUCUGGAGAGGAUGGUGUGACUGACUAAGAAACUUGAAAUGGAGGAAUUAUCCUGAAUUAUCCAUUGGGCCCUACGUAAUCACAGUGUAAUCCUCUUAAGAGGGAAAUAAAGGGAGACUUGCCAUAUAAGGAAGAAGAGGAGAAGGCAAUGUGACCACGGAGGCAAAGAUUGGAGGGAUGUGGUCACAAGCCAAGGAAUUGCUGACAGCCAGCAGAAGCUACAAGAGGCAAGGAACAGAAUCUCCUCUAGAGCCUCUGCUGACCCCUUGAUAUUGACUCAGUGAUGCUGAUUUGGAUAUCUCACCUCCAGAACUGUGAGAAAAUAAAUCUCAUUGUUAUAAGCCCUCAAGCUUGUGGUACUUUGUUACACCUGUCAUAGGAAACUGAUACACUUAACUUGAACCUAGGGAGUUAGAUU